UAGGGAAUCUUCGGCAAUGGGGGGAACCCUGACCGAGCAACGCCGCGUGAGUGAAGAAGGUUUUCGGAUCGUAAAGCUCUGUUGUUAAGGAAGAACGAGUGCGAGAAUGGAAAGUUCAUGCUGUGACGGUACUUAACCAGAAAGGGACGGCUAACUACGUGCCAGCAGCCGCGGUAAUACGUAAGUCCCGAGCGUUGUCCGGAUUUAUUGGGCGUAAAGCGAGCGCAGGCGGUUAGAAAAGUCUGAAGUGAAAGGCAGUGGCUCAACCAUUGUAGGCUUUGGAAACUGUUUAACUUGAGUGCAGAAGGGGAGAGUGGAAUUCCAUGUGUAGCGGUGAAAUGCGUAGAUAUAUGGAGGAACACCGGUGGCGAAAGCGGCUCUCUGGUCUGUAACUGACGCUGAGGCUCGAAAGCGUGGGGAGCGAACAGG
This 429-nucleotide ribosomal RNA is filed under the name Bacteroidota bacterium. Its description in RNAcentral is "Bacteroidetes bacterium partial 16S ribosomal RNA". It matches the Rfam family "Bacterial small subunit ribosomal RNA", at positions 355 to 776 of the family's 1533-position model. The record is from RNAcentral. Lineage: Bacteria; Pseudomonadati; Bacteroidota.